AGCCCCGGGGUGUUACACGUUGGAUUGCAAAUCCGAAGAGGCAGACUAAUAAGCUGCCGGGGCUU
RNAcentral lists this transfer RNA (65 nucleotides) under Tomicodon cryptus. RNAcentral's name for it is "tRNA-Cys". Lineage: Eukaryota; Metazoa; Chordata; Actinopteri; Blenniiformes; Gobiesocidae. The record is from RNAcentral.